This 420-nucleotide ribosomal RNA is filed under the name Triticum aestivum (bread wheat). RNAcentral describes it as "partial small subunit ribosomal RNA". The record is from RNAcentral. Lineage: Eukaryota; Viridiplantae; Streptophyta; Magnoliopsida; Poales; Poaceae.
AUGAAUCUUCAAGACAUGCUAUCUUGCUUCGCCGCUUGCCCAGCUCCCUCAUUCCGAGCACGACACCACGCGUCGGAGCUUGUCGGGAGGCACGGAAGGACGAACAGAGUUCUACCGGUGAUCCGUGUUGUCGCUGACGGUGUCAUAGGAUCUGCGGUGCACGUGGACAAGGCGAUGGGGCUGCCAACCUACCUCCUCUUCACCACAGUGCAUGUGGAUUCUUGGGCUACCACAACUUGGAUCAGCUUUUUCAAGAGGGGAUGCUUGCCAUUCAGAGGGACAGGAGCGCGAUGUCAAGCAGCAGCAGCAGGUUCUGCAGCUGACGACCCUGGUGAGUCCACGGUCGUGCUCAACUCCCGCCAGCAGGGCGCGAAGGAGUUUCCCCUUGAACCCCAUGACCUGAUUCUCAGGUUGAUUUGA